UAGCUCAACAGAGACCUUCAAAUAGAAAAAGAAGAGACUGACUUCUGGCUGCCAGCCUGAGCCGUGGAGUGUGCUGGCUACAGUCAGGGAAAGAGUGGGGAGAGCGUCCCCCAACCCCUCCCACCCUGUGAGGCCUCAUCAUGCUGAUGUGACAUCGAAGUGCAAGCAAAAAGAAAAUGUAGAUUGGAGACAUAAAAACAGCUGAAAAGUAUUUUCAAGACGUUGAGAAAGUGACACAGAAAUUAGAUGGACUACAGGGUAAAAUCAUGGUUUUGAUGAACAGCGCGUUCCUUCACCUCGGGCAGAAUAACUUCGCAGAAGCCCACAGGUUCUUCACAGAGAUCUUAAGGAUGGAUCCAACAAACGCAGUGGCCAACAACAACGCUGCCGUGUGUCUGCUCUACCUGGGCAAGCUGAAGGACUCCCUGCGGCAGCUGGAGGCCAUGGUCCAGCAGGACCCCAGGCACUACCUGCACGAGAGCGUGCUCUUCAACCUGACCACCAUGUACGAGCUGGAGUCCUCGCGGAGCAUGCAGAAGAAACAGGCCCUGCUGGAGGCUGUCGCCGGCAAGGAGGGGGACAGCUUUAACACGCAGUGCCUCAAGCUGGCCUAGCUGCCUCCAACACACUACGUCAGAAGGACCCGGGUCUUUGAAACUGUGUCAUGAAGCUAAUGUAUUAAUGUGACAUGGAGGAACUCAAUAAAACUCCUGCUUCACU
This 720-nucleotide small RNA is filed under the name Pan troglodytes (chimpanzee). RNAcentral's name for it is "processed transcript". Lineage: Eukaryota; Metazoa; Chordata; Mammalia; Primates; Hominidae. The record is from RNAcentral.